GAAAUGCGAUAAGUAGUGUGAAUUGCAGAAUUCAGUGAAUCAUCGAAUCUUUGAACGCACAUUGCGCCCUUUGGUAUUCCUUAGGGCAUGCCUGUUCGAGCGUCAUCUAAACCUUCAAGCCCUGCUUGGUGUUGGGUGCCUGUCCCGCCUCCGCGCGCGGACUCACCUCAAAUCCAUUGGCGGCUCCCGCGUCGGCCACGAGCGCAGCAGAAACGCGAACUCGUGAGCCCGUCCGGGCGGCUCCCAGAAGCUACACCCACCCAGUUUGACCUCGGAUCAGGUAGGGAUACCCGCUGAACUUAAGC
This 305-nucleotide unclassified non-coding RNA is filed under the name plant metagenome. RNAcentral's name for it is "partial contains 5.8S ribosomal RNA, internal transcribed spacer 2, and large subunit ribosomal RNA". The stretch from base 1 to 105 matches the Rfam family "5.8S ribosomal RNA", at positions 50 to 154 of the family's 154-position model. The record is from RNAcentral.